This is a long non-coding RNA of Pogoniulus pusillus (Red-fronted tinkerbird), 314 nucleotides long. RefSeq lists it as uncharacterized. The record is from RefSeq and is a predicted model, not a curated record. Lineage: Eukaryota; Metazoa; Chordata; Aves; Piciformes; Lybiidae. The transcript has 3 exons.
CGGCGCCGGCAGCGCCGCGGAGCCGGAGCGUCGUGAGCGGCCCUGGUGCGGCGGUUUGGCUACAGCCGGGCGAGAGGCGGCGCCAGCAGCGCGAGGAGCGCGGUCAGCGAGCGAGCUUGCACAGUUACAGACUGACCUCAGUGUGGUCUGUCAUGGAGCGUGAAGAUUUCACAGAAGUCAGCCUGGAGGCACCUCUUGUGCUGUUAGUGGAGUCUCUGAGAAAUCAGAUCAGGACUGUCCAGUCUCUUCAAGAUGAAGAAGAGAACAUGCAGGAAUGCUGGGGCAGACUCCAGGUUGCUGCCAGUAACCUGAAG